Molecule: non-coding RNA, 83 nt
Filed under: Bacillus sp. (in: firmicutes)
Lineage: Bacteria; Bacillati; Bacillota; Bacilli; Caryophanales; Bacillaceae
Description: Bacillus sp. c-di-GMP-II sequence
Rfam family: Cyclic di-GMP-II riboswitch aptamer
Source: RNAcentral
GUUGAAUAGAGAGACAGAGAAUAACCAUCUUUAUUUGGGCGCUUGGAUGGUUUGGAGUCAGUAGCGCAACCGGCUAAUUAAAC